GUCCAGGGCUAGAGCAAGCGUCGCCCCACGGCCUGCGCAGCCCUGAGCCAUGCUGAGGAGCUGCAUCGGGCACCUCCGCACGCUGGGGGCCCUUUGCCGGCUGCCGCUGGUAGGCUGGCGCCUGCCGGGUCGUGAGCCACGACCUGCGCUGAGGUCAUUUUCUUCUGAGGAUGUCAUUCUUAAGGACUAUUCUGUCCCCAACCCCAGCUGGAACAAGGACCUAAGACUGCUCUUUGACCAGUUUAUGAAGAAAUGUGAAGAUGACUCCUGGAAACAUUUGCCUUCAUAUAAACGUACACGUACUGAAAGGAUUCAAGACUUCAAAACCCGUUUUCUUGACCCAAAGCUUAUGAAAGAAGAACAAGUGUCACAGGCCCAGCUCUUCACCAGAAGCUUUGAUGAUGGCCUGGGCUUUGAAUACAUGAUGUUCUACAAUGACGUUGAGAAAAGGAUGGUUUGCUUAUUUCAAGGAGGCUCUUACCUGGAAGGACCACCUGGAUUCAUUCAUGGAGGUGCCAUUGCAACCAUGCUUGAUGCUACUGUUGGUAUGUGUGCAAUGAUGGCUGGGGGAAUCGUCAUGACUGCCAAUCUCAACAUCAAUUGUAAAAGACCUAUCCCUCUUUGUUCUGUUGUUAUGAUAAAUAGCCAACUUGAUAAAGUUGAAGGAAAGAAAUUUUUUGUUUCCUGUAAUGUUCAGAGUGUUGAUGAGAAGACCCUAUACUCAGAGAUGACAAACUUAUUUAUAAAGCUGAAUCCUGCUAAAAGUCUGACAUAAAGAGCUGCUGGUGAACUCCAUCUCAUUCUCUCCCCUCCAGAAGAAGCAGUUGUCCCCCAAAUACUCUGCUCCCUCACUGCUGAAUCCCUGUAGGGAGAAGCCUGCCAGCAGUGACCUUCUGAAACAGCCUUCUGAAUACAAGGAGGAUUCAGCUUCCAUCUUCUCAACUUUUUAACACAGAAACACUUCCUGCGAGCAUUUCGACAACUCUCAGGCCGGGUGCUGUGGCUCACGCCUAUAAUCCCAGCACUUUAGGAGGCCAAGGCGGGCGGAU
Nomascus leucogenys (northern white-cheeked gibbon) is the source of this 1049-nucleotide RNA transcript. It is a transcript of the gene named acyl-coenzyme A thioesterase THEM4 pseudogene, with no coding region annotated. The record is from RefSeq and is a predicted model, not a curated record. Lineage: Eukaryota; Metazoa; Chordata; Mammalia; Primates; Hylobatidae. The transcript has a single exon.